GGCAAAGAUUGCCUCAUCUAUUAAUUAAGCAGAAGAGAAUUGCCCAGUUAAUUACGGAAAACCGGGCAAAAACCGGAACAACAAGGGCCAAGCCCCACUCCCAUAGACUGAAACACACAGGGCAAAGCCCACCCUCAUCGACGACAAGUCGACCUGCAGCCAGACAACACAGCUCCGACUCUGACGGAGAACUCAGAAGAACAAAACCAGGCACAGCUGGCGCCAAGGAAGAUCGCCGAACAGGCUACAUGCAGCCAGUCAUCGUACACCACAGGGCCCUGCCGCCGCAGCUUCGACUCCACACCAACAAGCAAACUGAGGCAAAACCGUGGACACGCCGGAGAAGAGCCGACUACCGCAACCAUUGCCCGUCGCCGACAUCGAUCCCACCAUCAUCGUUGCCACAGAAGUCUGGUCGCCACAAUGAUUCUCUCGGGACCGCCACCCCGACAUCCACCGCUCCGUCGCGCCCAGCGCAAUCAACCGGCACCGCCUUCCGGGGCCGCCGCCCCGACAUACCACCGCUCUCCUCAAGCAGCAACGCCGCACAACCCAGCUGCCCGCAGCCCACGCUGCUCAGGGCAACCGCUCGCAGACCACGAACGUCGCACCACAUCCGAGGCCGCCGCCCCGACGUAAAGUCAGACCGCCCCCUCUGGGGCGCAUCGACCGAGCCGACACCCCUACCGCCCAAGCAGGACAAGGAUGCCACCCAACCAAUAUCGAGAUAGAGCCCCGCCUCAUAGAGCUGCCACUCACAUUGUUCCCGAGAUCGCCAUCUUGACGCACAAUCAAAAACCACCCGGAGCCGCCGCCCCGACGUCCACUGUCCCCGACGACGACGAGAUCCGUGCAAAAUGCAGCAUGCUGACUCUCAAAGGCGAUGCCUCAAAGAAGGAAACGACGUAGCCGCCGUCGUCGCCCGCUUCGACCAUCCGAAGCUAGGGAUUUCUCCCUGAGAGUCGUGUAAUGGAGCUCCACGACAACACCUUCAAGAAGGGGAACGACGCCAUGGCCAUGGCGCCGCUGUUGCCGGCACCGACCCAAGGUCAGUGCUGGGCUUUCGCCCGGAGCUCCUCCACACCUCCGAAUCCGAGCAAAUCCGAAGCACUGCACAGCACAUAAUCUCCAUGGUCGACGUCCACCUGCUCCACCUUCCCGCUGCGCCGCGCACCUCCAAGAUCCAGAUCCGCGCAGCAUGGAGUCCCCUCGCGCCCAGCACGCGCCUGCAGCGCCACCAUGCUCGGCCACGCCUGGCCGCCCGGCGCGGCCACCAUGUUCCGCCUCGCCCUCCCCAGCACCGGAUCCCGCAAAAACGGAUCCGUCGCCGCAGAUCAAGCCGGUGGCCCGAAGCCACCCCCGUCGAGACCGCCAGAUCCACGGUCACCCGACGCAGCCAUGCUGCACCGCCCUGCGCGCGCCUCCCCGCGCCCGAACGCGGCCACCCCUGCCAGUGCGAGCACCGGCUGCCAGAGCAACACUUGAGAUCCCGCCGAGACGAGCAGCCCGCGCUGCCAGAGCUCAGACGGGAGGAGGAAAGCGCCUCGCCGCCGCCGGGCCGCAAGGGCUUUGCCCGGCGACCUCCGCCGGCGGCGGCGAGGGGAGGAGGGGGCAGUGGAGCUGCGCUGGCGGUGGCUGGAAAUCGCCCCCUGGCC
Molecule: ribosomal RNA, 1655 nt
Filed under: Triticum aestivum (bread wheat)
Lineage: Eukaryota; Viridiplantae; Streptophyta; Magnoliopsida; Poales; Poaceae
Description: partial small subunit ribosomal RNA
Source: RNAcentral